AGAUGGGCCCGCGGCACAUUAGCUAGAUGGUGAGGUAACGGCUCACCAAAGCAACGAUGCGUAGCCGAUCUGAGAGGAUGAUCCCCCACAUUGGGACUGAGACACGGCCCACACUCCUACGGGAGGCAGCAGUGAGGAAUAUUGCACAAUGGAGGAAACCCUGACGCAGCAACGCCGCGUGAGUGAUGACGGCCUUCUGGUUGUAAAGCUCUUUCUUCAGGGACGAUAUUGACGGUACUUGAGGAGGAAGCCACGUCUAACUACGUGCCAGCAGCCGCGGUAAUACGUAGGUGGCGAGCGUUGUCCUCAUUUACUGGGCGUAAAGGGAGCGUAGGCGGAUUUCUAAGUGAGAUGUGAAAUACUCGGGCUUAACAUGAGUGCUGCAUCUCAAACUGGAAGUCUAGAGUGCAGGAGAGGAGAAGGGAAUUCCUAGUGUAGCGGUGAAAUGCGUAGAGAUUAGGAAGAACACCAGUGGCGAAGGCGCUUCUCUGGUCUGUAACUGACGCUGAGGCUCGAAAGCGUGGGGAGCAUCAAAAGAGGAGAUACUCCUGGUAGUCCACGCCGUAAACGAUGAAUACUAGUUGUAGGGGUGCUCAUGACCUCCGUGCCGCCGCUAACGCAUUACGUAUUCCGCAUGGGGAGUGCGGUCGCGAGAUUAAAACUCAAAGGAAUUGACGGGGGCCCGCACAAGCAGCGGAGCAUGUGGUUUAAUUUGAAGCAACGCGAAGAACCUUACCUAGACUGUACAUCUCCUGCAUUACUAUUAAUGGAGGAAGUCUCUUCGGAGACAGGAUGACAGGUGGUGCAUGGUUGUUGUCAGCUCGUGUCGUGAGAUGUUGGGUUAAGUCCCGCAACGAGCGCACCCCUUAUUGUUAGUUGCCAUCAUUAAGUUGGGCACUCUAGCCAGACUGCCCUGGUUAACCGGGAGGAAGGUGGGGAGGACGUCAAAUCAUCAUGCCCCUUAUGUCUAGGGCUCCACACGUGUUCCAAUGGUCGGUCCAAUAAGAGGCAAGCCUGCGAGGGGGAGCAAAACUCGAAAACCGAUUUCAGUUCGGUUGGUAGGCUGAAAUUCGCUUACAUGAACCUGGAGUUGUUAGUAUUCGAGAUUCAGCAUGUCGCGGUGAAUACGUUCCCGGGCCUUGUACAAAGCGCCCGUCA
This 1158-nucleotide ribosomal RNA is filed under the name uncultured bacterium. Its description in RNAcentral is "bacterial SSU rRNA". It matches the Rfam family "Bacterial small subunit ribosomal RNA", at positions 223 to 1399 of the family's 1533-position model. The record is from RNAcentral.